AUUCUCGUGGUGUAGUUGGCAACGCGCCUGUCUAGUGAGCAGGAGUCGCGAGUUCGAGUUUCACCGAGAGGA
This is a non-coding RNA of Aedes albopictus (Asian tiger mosquito), 72 nucleotides long. NCBI's taxonomy places the organism in Eukaryota, Metazoa, Arthropoda, Insecta, Diptera, Culicidae. The record is from Rfam.